Zootermopsis nevadensis is the source of this 4178-nucleotide non-coding RNA. The record is from RefSeq and is a predicted model, not a curated record. Lineage: Eukaryota; Metazoa; Arthropoda; Insecta; Blattodea; Termopsidae.
UCCCGCUGUUUUUCUACACUCUCUCCAUGGAAGUCACACGGUUGCGGCUUGCAUGUUUGCGUGUUCGUGUUGCAGGUUAAUAAGAAUUUAUGCAGAGAACUGGCAACGACCACAAAGUUCGCCUCUAAAAUCUCGUCGUCAGCUGAAACUGUGUCGCGUCUGGCUGCCUCGAUCUGUACAAUCGCGUUGCGAAUUGCUGUGCGUUUAAGUUGCAGUCUGAUCAGGGUUGUCCAACAUUCUUUUACUUAGCGCCAAGAAUAUUACUCCCGUUGGACCCAAGGUCCAAGAAACCCCUCCUGACACCAACAGCCAAUUUUCGUGUUCGUCGCUAUAUGAUAUGCUCGAACAGAAAUUUUAUUGAAGUUUCCACAAAACACUAGUGGCAUAAAGCUGUAGAUUAUGCAAAAUUUCCUCCUGCAAUAGCCUGUACGUAUCUAACACAGCCCCCCCAUAAAACUUUCAUUUAGGGGUUUUAAAAUUUAAAUAAUUUCGCUGGCCGAAAACCGGAUUUUCUUCAAAUGUCACUCACGCACCCAAAGAGAUUGUUUCAGACCCAGAAGGUUCAUAAAUAGGCCCACCUGUCUUUUGAAAACGAAGGCGAGAAAAGUUUUAUGUUUCAUGUGGCACAUUUCAGACAGGCCUACGUGACAGAGCGUCAAAGACGGGAUUCUGUGUUGUUACGUUGGACGUACGAGCUGUCGGUGUCAGGCGACUCCGUGGCACAGAAUGCGGGCGAACGUUGACAGGAUUUCGUGGCCAAGUGUUGGCAACACUGCCUGCGAAACGGCUGCUUUUAUCCACUUGAAACAACCUCGGAGAGUAGGGCUGAGAGACAUUAAGAUCUGAUGAUGGAGGCAACAAGCAUCUCUGAAACGUCGGCAGAUUUCUACAAGACAUCCAUCGCCAUACUCGCAGCCGUCGGAACCUGAAACAUCACCGAGAUGAUGGUGACUGAAAUGGCGGCCAGAUUGCUGCUUGGCGGGGACGGCGACCGCUUGGACACCCCUCACCUUCCAAUCACAAACCGUUUGUGGCCGCCGAGAGAAAGUCCUUCAAGCACGCUCAGCUAGUCAAUAAAUUCCUCGCCGUUUACAGAACUCGAAUGUUCAUUACUGUGUUCACAGGCUGAUUCUCUUAUGGUCAGGGGUUAUUGCCCCCGCUCAAACUCAAAGCCGGAGGAUCACCCCCUGUCGGCUGUCGGCGACUGUUCAUUCAAUAUAUUUGAAUCUGCCCUUCAUAUCGGGAGACAUUCUCCUGCGACCGCAACGUGGUGGCAAAUGUCCCACUCAACACGGGACCCGAAAAUUUUGACAUGCAAAGUUUCGUUCGCGAUUCUCGCCACAGCGGAGCGGAGUGAACGUGCGGGUUGCAGCAGAACAAGGCGGAUGAAGCGAUUCGUCGUAAGUUCGGUGACCGACCAGUUUCUGAUACACCAAGAACUUGAUGGUUUCAUUCCCAUCAUGCCUCUGGAGUUUGUGACGAAGCUCCUCGUCAUGUAAUUUUCUCUAUCCUGCUAGAUCAACGCUGAUGCGUCCAAAUAUUCACCUCAGCGCUUUGCUCUGAAAUACCCUGGAUUGACGCACAUUCUCUGGGGACUUUCACUUUGAACCCGCGAAAAAUAAAGGAGUUGUCAGAAAAAUUUUUGUGCGUCGGCGUCAAAACUGCCACAAGAACACGCGGACGCCGUUCGUUACAGGAACGAAUUAAAUUACUACCUGGAGCUGCGUUACUGAAGAAAUCUCGCAGCAAGAGAACAGCGUCCCAAAAUGUAAUGCUUCUUUUAUCGUCACAAGGCCACCGUCUUGCGUCAUCGCCUGGCACUUUGUAAUGUUUAUCGGUUAUUUAACAGGAUAAUACAAUACAAACUGCAAUUGGUCUUACUGUAAAAAUGCAAGACGCAGACAUGUUUUCAACAAACACCUACUGUUGCACCGAACAAUCCUUUUAAUUCGGUCCAAUAAUUCCAAAAGAAAAAAUACUUUUUUCAUUCCUUUAAGCUAUCGUGAUUCAGAAGAGAAAGUGGGCUAUUGCAGUGGCAAAAACCUCGGUUCGUGCUACGCCGCCAUUUUCUCCUCCAUUCGGUGCACGAACUCUGUCAGUGGUGAACGAAGUGGCUUCAGCGGUAACAAAUUCCCGAGUCGACUCUGUUCUUCACUUACGCAGUGCGACGUCCACACAGAUCAUAAAAUGCGUCUGGGAUGAUUCGUAAAUUGGUGGAUGGACAACGCCGGAUUCGAGCACGACAAAAGAACCACGGUGGAAAUGGACGAGGUGUCGCCACCUGCUCCUGCCGAAGUGUCUGCGGCGACUGUCAACGGCAAUGGUGUCCGCGGCUGCACAGACGUCUGUCUUUCUUUGCAUGAACAACAUCAACGGAGCCUUCAGCAGUAUCAGCAGAAGUCCAAGACUCCUCGACCGCCCGAGAGCCCGUGGCAUCGCCUCAAAACUAUCUUUCUCGUCAGCACCGUCGUGUUCCUGGCCGUCUGGAUCGUGGUGUACGCCGUGCUCAGUCAGAUGGCCGUCGUGUGACCACCGCGACAACACGUGACCCGAAACAUCCUCCCAAUCGCCCGUGUUACUCAGAUCGGUACAAUCACAUCAGAAGUCUAAUUUAUCGUAAACCGCUUCUUAAUCCAGAACGAUGCACGAAAUGUUAAACCUGAAAUGUCAUAUUUAGAUCAGAUAAGACAUGGCAGGUAAGAGUCCCAUUUCGAGCAGUUUCAUUUUAAAAUAAAUAAUUGUUCGCAAGAGAAACUUCAACGCGGGGCUUCGUACGGAUAUCGUGAAUGUUAGUAACGGUCACAGCGUUGGAUGACUGAUAAUAUUAAUCCAAUAUGAAGCCCUUACAAUCGAGACAUUUCAGUAAAUAACACAUUUUCCGUCACAUGGGCUCAGGCUGCUGUAAUGUCCAGAAGAAAAUUAUAACAGACGCCUCACAACAGACAAAUCCACGUUCGAACACAGUCCGUGCAUAAAAUUUGGCCACGGACUUUGAAACAGAUGUUCGUCUGCUGUGAUAAUUUUAUACGAACUUCGUCACUGGAUUCGACAAUAGUCUGAGGCAAUAGUCUUGCAAACCCCAUGUUAUGGAAAUUUAACAGUUUAUACAUGUUCAUAUAUUGAUCAUGGUAAAAAAAAAUUCCUAAAAAUUCUUGUAGGCAUAUUCACUGUCGCCACCCUGAACAGCGGAUUCGCAAAGCAGCUAUGUUUGAAAAAGCAUCGCUUCCUAAAUUCGCCAAACAGCCUGCCCCUUUUAAUUUACUGCAAAUCAUUAGUUCAGGUUUAUAAAUUGAAUAAAUAAACAGUCAAACAGAUCCGAAAAGCAAUUUUAUGAAAAUCGAUAAGAACACAUUCUGUAUUCUGCGCAGAUAUCAGUUAUUUUCGUGAAAUUAUCUUUCGUGUGGAGGGGGCCUUGAACAGUGUGGAUUUUGUUCACGUGUGAACACGAACCUUUUGUAGAAUGUGUCACGGCGCGUGUCUCAUGAGACACUGUUAAUACAAAGUUGCAGGUACAAAGGUGAAAUUAUGGUCGAUAUAAGUUGAUGAGUAGAUGAGCGGAGUGUUCGUCUCGUGUGUAGGCCCAUCUGAUAAGAUACCAGCGAAAACAAUUUUUUAUGGAGACCAAAUACACCGCAGAACUGAGUUUACAGAUUCAACCAUCUUGUGCACUUUACAUACAAAGCCUCGUGAACGCCAAAAUAAAAUUUUGUUGUCAACAAUCGUGCGAAAAAUGUUACAAACAUGAACGCCCAUACCGAAAUUGUAAGCCGGAAACACUUUGCUUUGUUUCGUGACGUCCAAUCAUUUGGAAAACUUUACCGCUUCGUAACAAUGUUUUCAACAAUGCUGUGUAUGUGUGGGUGGGGCUUGACAUUGUUGGAAACAUUUUUUUGUAAUUUUCUUUGCUUUUUGCGACUGAUCAUGGGAGGGGUUUUCAAUAGGACUGUUAAUUAUUAAUAAAAUUUUACAGAAAUCGUUGACAACGCUGUUUGUAGCACAUGCUUUUCAACAUUUGGGUACGGACAGGGCUUAAGAGUUGUACAGCUGGAAGCAAUGCAUGCACAAUCCAUUUCCAUUUUAAACUGAAACGUAAUUUAUAAUUAAAUGUAUUUCAAGAGUGUGAUUAAUAUGUAUUAAACGACGUGUAACAUAUUCGUUAAUAUACAACCUGAAUGACA